CCUACUCCUACGGGAGGCAGCAGUAGGGAAUCUUCCGCAAUGGACGAAAGUCUGACGGAGCAACGCCGCGUGAGUGAAGAAGGUUUUCGGAUCGUAAAACUCUGUUGUUAGGGAAGAACAAGUGCCGUUCGAAUAGGGCGGCACCUUGACGGUACCUAACCAGAAAGCCACGGCUAACUACGUGCCAGCAGCCGCGGUAAUCACGG
RNAcentral lists this ribosomal RNA (206 nucleotides) under Bacillus sp. Hb-0708. Its description in RNAcentral is "16S ribosomal RNA". It matches the Rfam family "Bacterial small subunit ribosomal RNA", at positions 332 to 528 of the family's 1533-position model. The record is from RNAcentral. Lineage: Bacteria; Bacillati; Bacillota; Bacilli; Caryophanales; Bacillaceae.